RNAcentral lists this non-coding RNA (98 nucleotides) under Compsopogon caeruleus. Lineage: Eukaryota; Rhodophyta; Compsopogonophyceae; Compsopogonales; Compsopogonaceae. The record is from RNAcentral.
GAUCCUCCCCAGCCGUCGGGCUACCUCCGGAUGCUGCCGAAUUGCGGUGGCAAGCUCCCAUGGCGACCCAAACGUCACCGCAUGGUCCACCAAAUAAA